This 729-nucleotide long non-coding RNA is filed under the name Brachypodium distachyon (stiff brome). RNAcentral describes it as "long non-coding RNA (BDIS_LNC005968)". Lineage: Eukaryota; Viridiplantae; Streptophyta; Magnoliopsida; Poales; Poaceae. The record is from RNAcentral.
GUGUGUCCCUGGCUGCAGCUAGUAGCCGCGCAGUUUAAAUCAUGCAUGCAUAUGAAUGAGUAAGCGUAAAGUGUAGAUUUUACUUACUUUCGUCUAGUUUUUUCACAUCGCCCUGGAGUUCAGGGUAACUUUGAUAUCUUGGCACGAUUGAUGGUACAGCCGGUAGGCUCCUGGUAGUCCGGCGCAGGAUAGUGAAGCGCGACAGCCGUUGUCCCGAGAACUGACGGUGACGACAGUCGACAUACCGGGGAGGGCGUGCGAGUCUUUUUUAUGAUGUGUAGUUGAGGUAUACGGCAGCGUUUCUAAGUUGUCAAGUCCGUCCUAAACGUGAAAACAAGUUGCAACCAGCAACAGACAGGCCGGCCGGUGCAAAUUACUGUAAGAGCUGUUUUCAACUUAUACUGACUCUAGCAAGCAAAUAGCAACUGUCAUUCUCUGUUGCACCACUUGCCAAUGCCUCUCUACAUAUAUAUCUCUUUCCUCUUUGACUGAUCAGUACCUCCGCUGCUUCCCCUCGAGAAAAAAAAAGUACAUCCACUGCUCGCUCGCUUUCGUGAAAAAGAAAAAAGUAGCAAAUGCGCCUCUUUACUGCUCGAAAGGAAAAGCUGAAGAAUUAAUUGAGGCAGGAAAACUAGUGUCCAUGUAUACUCUCGGCAGCGUCAAGUAACUGUUUAAAGUGAACAUGCGCUACAUCACAUCCUUUUACUCCAUUAACUGAGCUUAGUUGAU